This 180-nucleotide ribosomal RNA is filed under the name Anaerobacillus alkalidiazotrophicus. Its description in RNAcentral is "partial 23S ribosomal RNA". It matches the Rfam family "Bacterial large subunit ribosomal RNA", at positions 2751 to 2925 of the family's 2925-position model. Lineage: Bacteria; Bacillati; Bacillota; Bacilli; Caryophanales; Bacillaceae. The record is from RNAcentral.
ACGUAUGGAAGGGAUAAGUGCUGAAAGCAUCUAAGCAUGAAGCCCCCCCUCAAGAUGAGAUUUCCCUUGGAGUUAAUCCAGUAAGACCCCUUAGAGAUGAUGAGGUUGAUAGGUCUCGGGUGGAAGCACGGUGACGUGUGGAGCUGAGAGAUACUAAUCGGUCGAGGACUUAUCCUAAAA